Molecule: non-coding RNA, 92 nt
Organism: Mycena maculata
Lineage: Eukaryota; Fungi; Basidiomycota; Agaricomycetes; Agaricales; Mycenaceae
Source: the annotation of a GenBank genome assembly
GGCCUGGUGGUGUAGUGGUAACAUAUCCUCUAUACCUACAGUAGAUUUGGAUGGUUGUGAGGAAGUUCCCUGUUCGACCCGGGGCCAGGCCG